CCACUAGCCGCCUUGUGAGUGCCGAAAGAGGUUGGUGCAAGAGGACCUCCACACAUGCUGCCUACCACUCUCACGAACGUUGGAAGAGCCUGCUGCAGCAGAAUUUAUAUUUUUGACAUAAAUCGUUCGUAAAAUCCUGAAAAAAUCAGAGAACAUUAAGUUAAAUCCCAAAACUCAUUUAUACGUAUGAAACUGUGUAUAGUAUGGUUCAAAAUUUUAUAAUGUUCGGAGAUUAUGACUUCAAUGUAAAAUAUAAUCUUUCUCAUAAAAUAUCUCAGUACUAACUUCAAUGAUAUCUGAUGGUAUGCUCUAAAUUAGCAUGUGUUUUAUGAAAAAUGUUCUAAAAUAUGUUUAUGUAAAUAAACCUUUGAUUUAGGUGAAUAGGCAUAAUGUAAUGCAUUAUAUGUGAAGAAUAUGCAUGAUAUAGAGGGAAUAAAUGGUGCAUUAUCACAAAGCUUUAUGUAAAUGGUGCCUACUAAUAAUGAGAAUGAGGGAGGAUAAAGUAAAUGUGGAUACAUUGUUUGCAGUGAGUGUGUUACCACUAGAGUUCAAAAAGAACUCCAAAGUUAAACGUACACAGGCUAAAGCAGUAUCAAGAUGGGUGAUCUCUUGAGAAAGGGCUAGGCUCAGGUUACCCCCUAGUCAAAAGGUGUGUAGGCCUUGUAAAAAAUAGUCAACUUUGACCUACAAGCCUGUGGUAGGGACGACCUUGGAAAAAAAAAAAGUACGUCUGCACUGUCCACUAGAGAGAGUAGUCAACGCCCAAAAAUGAGGUUAUCCACUUAGUGAGCAGAGGGGCUGUGAAAAUCGUAGACAAAUGGUCUCACAUUUUCAAGCAAAUCAAACAAGGGCAUCAACAAAGAUUGUCCUAUGUUCUAGUCAAAGAUCUUCACCCCCCAGAGAGACCCCGUUCUUCAGUAGAUAAUCCCAAAGUUUCCUGCCUUUAUAAGGCCAUAGCUCCAUCAUCGAACAAAUAUUUCAUUUCAAUUUUCUCCUCUUUUACGUAGGUCUCAUGUUUCAAUUAUACAUAAGUUUCAUCACCAUAUGCGACUGUUGUGGAGAGGUGGGAAUUAAAGCUGCACAUAAGAAGGCGUGCAGAUCUAGUGGAAUAAGCUGCCAGACAGACACCAUGUACCCUAAAAAAUUAUCCUCAAAAGGCAACGAACAUCAAGCACAUAUGAGUUCACCAGUAAAUAUCAUAUUAUAAAUCGUUUCCUUCAAAAAGACCGAAUAUAAAGGAAUAAAAAAAACCUAAAUAUGAUCAAUGACAUGAUAAGAAAUACUUGUCCAAGGAUGAGUUUCUUACAUGGAACAUGGAACAAACAGUCCAAGACCGAUGAAGAAGCAUGUACAUCCGAGAAUCCUUGAAAUACUGAGGAUCUGAGGGUUAUUUCACUUUUUCAUCAAUUGAAUUUGAAGUUCCUUUCUUCCCAGAAAAUUAUCUUUGCAAGUGGAUUCUAGCCAUUUCAAAAGGAACAAUAAAUGCUUGGCUGUUCUCACAAUUAUGAGCAGUCAAGCUUGAAACCCCC
This 1529-nucleotide long non-coding RNA is filed under the name Spirodela polyrhiza (greater duckweed). RNAcentral describes it as "long non-coding RNA (SPOL_LNC001213)". Lineage: Eukaryota; Viridiplantae; Streptophyta; Magnoliopsida; Alismatales; Araceae. The record is from RNAcentral.